AGGACGAACGCUGGCGGCGUGCCUAAUACAUGCAAGUCGAACGAGGUCCACCCGGUGGCAACACCGGUGAAGACCUAGUGGCGAACGGGUGAGUAACACGUGAGGAACCUGCCCCCGAAGACCGGGAUAACUCUCCGAAAGGAGUGCUAAUACCGGAUACCCCCAGAAGAUCGCAUGGUCUUUUGAGGAAAUGGAUUCCGCUUCGGGAGGGCCUCGCGGCCUAUCAGCUUGUUGGUGAGGUAACGGCUCACCAAGGCAUCGACGGGUAGCUGGUCUGAGAGGACGAUCAGCCACACUGGGACUGAGACACGGCCCAGACUCCUACGGGAGGCAGCAGUAGGGAAUCUUGCGCAAUGGGCGAAAGCCUGACGCAGCAACGCCGCGUGGGGGAUGAAGGCUCUCGGGUUGUAAACCCCUUUCAGUAGGGACGAAAUCAGACGGUACCUACAGAAGAAGCCCCGGCCAACUACGUGCCAGCAGCCGCGGUAA
RNAcentral lists this ribosomal RNA (489 nucleotides) under uncultured bacterium. Its description in RNAcentral is "SSU rRNA". It matches the Rfam family "Bacterial small subunit ribosomal RNA", at positions 26 to 523 of the family's 1533-position model. The record is from RNAcentral.